This 4973-nucleotide long non-coding RNA is filed under the name Theobroma cacao (cacao). RNAcentral's name for it is "long non-coding RNA (TCAC_LNC002205)". Lineage: Eukaryota; Viridiplantae; Streptophyta; Magnoliopsida; Malvales; Malvaceae. The record is from RNAcentral.
UUGACUUUGUCCUAGCUAGAGGCACUGUCCAAAGGUGGUGGAAUGCUCAAAGGAUGUGGAUGAUAAGGGCGCUUUCAUGUUACUUGUUCAGUUCAGUUGAGUACCUGCUCAAGUCCUUAAGGAUUUCCACUCAUGCUUUUAGCCUAACAAGCAAGGUGCUUGAUGAUGAACAAAGUAAGAGAUAUGGCCAAGGCAUCUUUGAGUUCGGAGUCCCCUCCCCCUUGUUUGUGCCAUUGACAAUGGCAGCAAUAAUCAACUUAUUCUCAUUCGCAUGGGGAUUGACCGAGUUUUGGGAUAAUGGCAACAAAGAAGGCCUCGCUUUGCAGAUGGUAUUAGCAGGAUUCAUUGUUUUGAAUUGCUUGCCAAUUUAUGGAGCCAUUGCCUUGAGGAGUGACAAAGGAAAAAUGCCCACCCAAAUUAUAGUCAUUUCAACAUUUCUGUCUGUGGCUCUUUAUACUUUCGCUUAUCUCAUUCUCAAGCAAUAACUCUAAUUAGGCAAGCUUUUUCUUUUUUUUUUCUUUUUUGAAUCAAAUAAUUAGAAUCCUUGCUUUAUAUUUCUCCUCUAAUGUUUGCUUUAUAUACAAUAUUUUAAAAAAAAGAUUGAAGGUAAUCAUAUAUCUAGUUGCUCACUUCCUGUCUUUCACUUUCAUCUUGCUUUCAUUUGCUAGUAACCCCAAAAAGUAUGAUCUGUCUCUUAUUUCUCAUCAUUAAUGUUUGGCUUCGCCUUGAGAUAUACAACCAUUGAUCAGUGCAAAUUGCAAAGCGGUUCACAUGGACACAUUUUUGAGACACUCUAUUUCGUUUUCAUUUCCCAGUAAUCAUUUAGGUGAAAUAUAUCUCAUCAAUUUAGAAAGUCAGCAGAGCAGAUAUCAUUGAUAUAUUAAAUCAAUUACAGAAAUUUGUGAAAAAUAUCAUUUUCAUAACUUGAUUUUAAAAAUAAUCAUUAAAAUAAAAUUAAUUAUUUUCUCUUUGCUUUCACACAUAUAAAGUGUAAUAUGCUGAAUAAAAUCAAUUAGUACAGUUAUUCAGACAAAGAAACCUUUAUAAAUCAGCCCUUCAUACCCACUAACUUUAUCAUGCUAUCAUUUCAGUGGACAACCUUUGUUUUAGUCAAUUCAACACUCCAAUUAAAGAUUAGGAUUUGUCUUAAACUUGACGCCUAAGCCAUAUGUAUCUAGACAAUUAAUGAACCUGUGCAUGAAUCCAAAGAAACCUGAAGUAAAGCGGUAACAAUGUUGGUCAUCAUUUCAACUAUACAAGAAAUAAAUAACAAGGCACAUCUUUCAAAGCUUUUUAUUCUAACUUAAUUUCUUAAAGAACCAAAGAGAUGGAACUUAAUCACAAGGCUUCUUCUGUGCUUGCAUAGGUCAAGUCCCAUAUGUCAUACAUUUGUUGUUUUGGCUUACAUACAUAAAUAAAUAAAUAAAUAUAUAUUGCUUUAUAUAUUUAUUAAUUAGGCUUUGCGGCUGUAUGUUCCUAUAAGCUUUUUUUUGGUGUUUUUUGAUAAUUGCCACAAUCAUUUAUAAAGUUACAAUUAUGGAUAAGCAAAAUUACUACAUAUCCACUUGCUCUUGGUAUGCUAAAAUCAAUUCAUCAGCAAUUUUAUCCUAUUUAGAAACAUUCGAGUGAUGUUCAAAGUAAGAGAUGCUUCAGGAUAAUACCACUUCUAAUACUAAUCUUAUUGUAGAUGAUGUACGAGAUUAUGAAAGUGAAGGUAGAAUACAUUGUUGAUAAAGGGGAAAUUAGUGAUGAAUACAUUGUAGACAAUGCAUAUAGAGAAGCUUGUAGUAAAUGGACUGACGGGUUUACUCGUAUGGAUCAUCCUACUGUCGCUCAAGUGAUUUACGUUAAAGAUUAGAGCUAAAAUCAAUCAUAAAUUAAAUUAUUCAGGAGAAAUAAAAGUAUUAGCUAGUACCUACUUUGACAAGGUCAAUUUACUGGUGCCACAUGAACUGUGAGUAGGUUAUCUUAGAUAAGAGCAAAGACAAAUAUGUUUCAGGCAAUUUCUUGCCAAAUCUCAUUUAUGUCUCACGACAGAAAAGCAAGACUUCUCCUCACCACUUCAAAGCUGGAGCUCUAAAUGUUCUGGUAUGGGUUAGAUGAUCUAACGACUUAUUCUGGUAUCUUAUCCAAUUGAUUAGUUUUUAUAUUAUGCUUUCUAAUUCUCUCUUAAAAUUUGGAAUGUUUGGUAGUUACGAGUAUCAGCUGUUAUGACCAAUGCGCCAUUAAUCUUGACCCAAGACUGUGACAUGUACUCGAAUGAUCCUCAAACUCCUAUCCAGGUGUUAUGUUAUCUAUUAAACCCUGCACUUCAAUCAAAAUUGGCAUACAUUCAAUUUCCACAACGAUUUCAUGGCCUCAACCAAACUGACAUCUAUGUUUUUGAGUAUAAACACUUGUUCCAAAUUAAUCCUAUGGGUUUUGAUGGGAUAAUGGGUUCAAAUUAUGUGGGAUCCGGCUGCUUCUUUUGUCGACGAGCUUUCUUCGGUGGCCCAUCAACUUUGGUGCCGACGAAAAUCCCUGAACUCAGCCCAGACCAUGUGGUAGACAAGCCCAUUAAUUCUCAAAAAAAAUUUUCAUUGGCACACAAUGUAGCAAAUUGCUACUAUGAGAACCAAACUGAACAUUAGGGCUCCAAGGUAAGCUCAUCAAUCACUCUCCAGAACAAUGUCUAUCAAAAAGCUUUAAAUUACAACCAAUACGUUAAGAUUGUUUCUUAAUAUGUAUGCAAAAUGGGUUUAGAUAUGGAUCUUUGGUUGAAGACUUUUACACAGGAUAUGGACUUCAGUGUGAAGGAUGGAAGAGCUUAUUCUGUCAUCCUGAGAGGGCAGCAUUUUUAGGGGAUGUGCCAAUUACCCUUUUAGAUUUACUUAGUCAAUGCAAGAGAUGGUGCAUCAGCCUUUUAGAAGUGACCUUCUCCAAAUAUAACACUCUCAUCUUCGGUUCUCGUUCUAUGGGCAUUGUGAUGGGAUUAGCUUAUUCUCACUAUGCAUUCUGGCCUAUUAUUCUUCUUAAUUUUGUUAUGAUUUAUUAGUUUUUAUAUUUCUUUUGUAAGAUUAAAAGUGAUUGGGCUUAAUUUUGAAAAGUAAGAUGUUAAAAGAUCUAGAAUCUGCUUGCAUAUGCUUCAGUAUUUUGGCCAUAUCUUGAGUUACAGAACUCCAAAUGAUACAAUUCAUGGAUCAGUGGAAACCUAAGAGACAAAGAUACAACUUUCAUGAAGAUCACUUUGCCCAGUUCUGCUUUGAAGAUAGAGAAAAUUGCAUCUGAAAAUAUAUAGACGUACUGCACCGGGAAUGAAAAUUUGUAAAGAUUGACAAUUGAAUUUUGGGCCUCUUAUUAUACUUUUAAGCCCAAUUAAACCCUAGGACAGCUUAAGGAACUUUAGGUUAAGUUUAUUAGUAUAAAUAAGAUUUGUUUAAUAACAUUAGGGGAACUUUUGAGAGAUUCAAGAAACUGAAAGUUAAGGUUGAAACUUAGAGAUCAAGACGACAAAUAUUGUUUUGUUUUAUUCUUUAGCUUUUAUCGUUCUUGAUAUUUUCAAUGGUUGAAUUUUAUACAAUGUUAUUUUAUUUUGCGAUUAUGAGUAGCUAAAUUUCUUUUUCUAAGAUUGCAAUUGAACUUACAUGUAGUCUAAAAUUUUUAAUCUCUAUCUUAUUUAUUUUAAUGGGAUUUGAAUUGUUUAUUCCAAUUUGUUCUUAAUGCUUUUAAUUGCUUGGUCACCAAUUAAAUUGAUUUAGGAACCUAAACAAACUUGGAAAAGGGAGUUUAGAGUAGACUAAAAUUGGGAUAGCAUAUGAUCAUAUUAAUUAAUUUGCAUAUAGGAUAGGGAUAUACUUAUAGGCUAUAUGUAGCCAGAUUAGAACCUGAACUUAAUGAGUCUGUUUUAAUUUUAAUUCACAUAGGGAUAUAAUAUUUUGAUUAAAAUAUAUAUUUUUAUAGGACGAGUCGGGAGACCCUUAUAAAUAAUUGAGGACUCUAGGUUAGCAAUUCAACCCGUUGAAAUAAGUUAAGGAAGAGAGGUAAGAUUUAGAUAAAGUGUGAGAGAUAUUGUAAUCCUAGGCUUGUUUGAUUUGAUAUUGUCUAAAAUUAUUAUUAUUUUGAUUUUUCUUGUUGGUUUUACUUUUAGUUAAUUAGUUUUAGUUAAUUAAUUAAUUUUGAUUAUUUUGAUAAGAUUAAAUUGUUCUAAUUUUAGUACUUAGUAAAGUUUUAAAUCAAUUCUCUGUGGGAUCGAUACUCUGCUUGCUAAUAUACUAUCUAUUCAAUACGUAUACUUGCAUAGUAGGAUUUUAACUGACAAUUGGUGCAUCCCGAUCACCUAUUAUUCUUUCCUCCCCCAGCUAGCUCUGCUCAACAAAGUCAGCAUCUUCCCAAAGGUAUGAGCAUUGAUGAACUGUACAUGAUUAUUUAUUUGAAUUCAAUCUAUUCACUGAAGCCAGAAAUGAAAGAAAGAAAAAAUUCGUUUUGUCGGUAUCAGAACCAUGGUGUUUCUUAUAUGUUUUUCUUUUCCUCGACGCUUAUGGACAAGAUUUUCUUGACUUUGUCCUAGCUAGAGCCACUGUCCGAAGGUGGUGGAAUGCUUAAAGGAUGUGGAUGAUAAGGGGGGUUUCAUGUUUCUUGUUCAGUUCAAUUGAGUACCUGCUCAAGUCUUAAGGGAUUUCCACUCAUGGUUUUAGCCUAACAAGCAAGGUGCUUGAUGAUGAACAAAGCAAGAGAUACGACCAAGGCAUUUUUGAGUUCAGAGUCCCUUCCCCCUUAUUUGUGCCAUUGACAAUGGCAGUAAUAAUCAACUUAUUCUCAUUCGCAUGGGAACUGACAGAGUUUUGGGGUAAUGGCAGCAACAAGGAAGGCCUCACUUUCCAGAUGGUAUUAGCAGGGUUCAUUGUUUUGAAUUGCUUGCCAAUUUAUGGAGCCAUUGCCUUGAGGAGUGACAAAGGAAAAAUGCCCACCCAAAUUACAGUCAUCUCAACAUUUCU